AUUAUAGCAUCUGUGCUCGUGUAAGGUACAGAUGCUACUAUGCUCAUCACUAUCACUACUAUUUCUACUACCAUCAUGGGUACCGCUGCGCUCGCUACUGGCGUACCUACCGCUGCAGGCGAUGCCAGCACUACUGAGAAGCAGCAGCGCCCAGGGAUCACAGUGCUGGAGUUUACCUGACAGCAGACCUGCAAGCAAAGCUUAAACACACCAGCAACCUUCUUUUAUAGCAUCACUGUAACCUUUCUGUUCUGGUCCCUCUCCCCACACACAGCUACAGACCCAUACUUAUUUCUAUCAGGCCAUUCACAGCUUGUUUAAAACAGCUGCUCCCUGUUGUGCAUUUGGUCAAUCUCUUGAAGGAUAUAUAAUAGAGACAACAUUAUUUUUUCUAUUGGGUGAUUCCCUGCCUCUCAUGAAGCAGGUUUUUACAUUGUAUGGAAAGGUGUCCUUAUUUAACAUGUAGUCUCAGAUUCUCAGUGAGAUCACAUGCUCACACAUGUUUGAAUAGAAAUACAACUCCACAUGGGCACAUAUACAAAGCGUUACUUGGAUAGCGUGCUUGAUUGAUUUGCCCCAGCUCAUAAUCACUGCACCGAGUCAGGUUUGACCAGUAGACUCCUUUCUUCUCCCAGCUCCUCACAGCCACCCUGUGAUGUCACAAGUGACCUGUGACAGGCCUUGUUCACAGACUGACAACAAAUUUGUUUUUAUAUAGAGAUUUUCUUCAUCUCUCAAUUAUUUUAAAAUCUCUUUAUUUGCAUUCAUGACAACAAAUGCUCAAACUGUUGACCAGUAUAAAUGCUGUCCUGCCAAAACAACACUAUCUGCUGUUACAUGAAACUGGGUAAAAGCCUGUCUCUUUCUGUAAAGCUUUUUAAGCAAUACAACUAUUAGCAUCAAUGUCUCGUUUUGGACUGGUUUAUUUCACAUGACAUGUAUUCUUGUCAUACUGCCACCACUGAAAUCACUCAAAAAGCACUCUUUAUUGACAACAAAGAACUCUUAACAGUGCCAGGGAGGAUUCAUGUAUUUCCUCUUUCUUCUGCAUUGCAUAUUUAGUAAAGGAGAAAGUGCCUGAUUGUUUCUAUAAUGUCAUCUGUUUAGCCGUUCAGAAGCAUGCUGCUCUUUCCCAGGCAAUUGUUACUUGCAUAUUGUGGGUAAACCAAGAGGCAUGAUGAGAUGCUGGAGGCGUUA
This is a long non-coding RNA of Acipenser ruthenus (sterlet), 1197 nucleotides long. RefSeq lists it as uncharacterized. NCBI's taxonomy places the organism in Eukaryota, Metazoa, Chordata, Actinopteri, Acipenseriformes, Acipenseridae. The record is from RefSeq and is a predicted model, not a curated record. The transcript is spliced from 4 exons.